Molecule: long non-coding RNA, 667 nt
Organism: Chinchilla lanigera (long-tailed chinchilla)
Lineage: Eukaryota; Metazoa; Chordata; Mammalia; Rodentia; Chinchillidae
Exons: 3
Source: RefSeq, a predicted model, not a curated record
GAACCAGCAGAACCGGUCAAGUAUCCCGACUCCACCAGAGGCGACCCGGCCCAACUGCCCUCCUCCAGGCCGGCGGGGGGCGGGGACCCGGACCCGGGUCACUGGCAACUCUGGCUUUUGCAGGAGAGAGCUCGGCGGCAGCCUGGACUUCGCUCCCGGGAAGGAGCCCCAGGAGAACUGCGUCUAGGGGCACCGUGAGGCCAGACCUGCAGCCAUCUGUGGGGACCCAGCAGGGGUCCUGGAUGCCACCACAGAUCCUUGGGGCACAGCCCUCCGAGGACACCGACUCCACCCCUCCAGUUCCAGGAGGGAGGGCGCGAGUGCGCCACUCUCUCUGAGCCUCUCGGUCCUGAGUCCCACAAAAACACCAAACGUGAACCCCAGGGGUCCUGGCUCCUCCCCUGCCUCCCACCCGCACCAUCUUUGCUCCGAUCAGAGUGGGGGGCCCGAGCCUGAUUCCUGAGGAAGCGCAGGCUGCUGCGAGAGGUGCAGGUACAGCAGGCAGUGCCGGGCUUUUUUUUUUCUCCCAUUCAGAUCUGGGGGCUAAACCCAGGCCCUUUGCACCGGCCUUUUUUAUUUUUUAUUUCAGGACAGGGUCUGCCUGUCUCCCGAUUGUGUCCCUUGUCCUGCCACCAACUUGCUCUCCUCCUGGUCCAUCUGGUCCGUC